UACGUAGGUGGCGAGCGUUGUCCGGAAUUACUGGGUGUAAAGGGCGUGUAGGCGGGUUAUUAAGUCAGAUGUGAAAUUCCAAGGCUCAACUUUGGCGCUGCAUCUGAAACUGAUAAUCUUGAGUGUUGGAGAGGAAAGCGGAAUUCCUAGUGUAGCGGUGAAAUGCGUAGAUAUUAGGAGGAACACCAGUGGCGAAGGCGGCUUUCUGGACAAUAACUGACGCUGAGGCGCGAAAGCGUGGGGAGCAAACAGG
Molecule: ribosomal RNA, 253 nt
Filed under: uncultured bacterium
Lineage: Bacteria
Description: partial 16S ribosomal RNA
Rfam family: Bacterial small subunit ribosomal RNA
Source: RNAcentral